This 492-nucleotide ribosomal RNA is filed under the name uncultured bacterium. RNAcentral's name for it is "partial 16S ribosomal RNA". It matches the Rfam family "Bacterial small subunit ribosomal RNA", at positions 29 to 507 of the family's 1533-position model. The record is from RNAcentral.
AGUGAACGCUGGCGGUAGGCCUAACACAUGCAAGUCGAACGGCAGCACAGUAAGAGCUUGCUCUUACGGGUGGCGAGUGGCGGACGGGUGAGGAAUACAUCGGAAUCUACUUUUUCGUGGGGGAUAACGUAGGGAAACUUACGCUAAUACCGCAUACGACCUACGGGUGAAAGCAGGGGAUCUUCGGACCUUGCGCGAUUGAAUGAGCCGAUGUCGGAUUAGCUAGUUGGCGGGGUAAAGGCCCACCAAGGCGACGAUCCGUAGCUGGUCUGAGAGGAUGAUCAGCCACACUGGAACUGAGACACGGUCCAGACUCCUACGGGAGGCAGCAGUGGGGAAUAUUGGACAAUGGGCGCAAGCCUGAUCCAGCCAUACCGAGUGGGUGAAGAAGGCCUUCGGGUUGUAAAGCCCUUUUGUUGGGAAAGAAAAGCAGCAGGUUAAUACCCCGCUGUUCUGACGGUACCCAAUGAAUAAGCACGGGCUAACUUCGCG